Molecule: long non-coding RNA, 1328 nt
Filed under: Papio anubis (olive baboon)
Lineage: Eukaryota; Metazoa; Chordata; Mammalia; Primates; Cercopithecidae
Description: lncRNA (ENSPANG00000050805.1)
Source: RNAcentral
ACUACAAGAAUGGAAGCAUGAAUGCAAGUUGAUUUGUUUCUUGUCUCCUGCAUAGCUUCAUGAAGAGAAUCCAGCCAGGACUGUGAAGCCCCGGGGAACGGCUGCACUUCAAGUCAGAAGGAGCCUGGGUCCCUGAAUCAUCAUGUAGAAGGCUCUCCACCCAACUCAAUGGUGCAAUGGACCACAAGCAAGAACUUAAUUUAGAAUGUCUGCUCAGACGGCUGUGCCCAAGCAGUCAGCGAGGGUCCUGGAUGUUUCUGGCUUCCAAUACAUGAGAGGCGUCCUGUUACUAGCAAUGAACCAGAGUCCUAGAGUCUGGAAAAGCACUUUAUAUCCUCAGCGAUCAGGUGAGAAAUGGCCAAUUGAUGGUGCUGGAAGGUGAAGAUGUUUAAUUAUUUCCAUGACGGUUUAUAUCAAUAUUUAACAGAAAUAUGCCAUGGCUCAUUUGAUGUGAAGUGCAUGGUAAAAUGAUGGAUUUUUUUUUCUUUUAAACUAUCUAAUAGUCUAUGAAUUUCCCCCCAGGAAAGAACUGUCCAGCCUAGCACUUAGCACAGUGUCUUGGCAGCAAGUAAGCAGAGCUGAUUGCUUGAAGGAAUGCAUGCUCUGUCCAAAGCCUCAUCAAUUAUCACCUAAUAAAUGUAAUAAGUUCUGUGAUGAAGACUCUUAAGUUCUGGUGUUGGCGGAGAAUGCAUUUCUAGAGUAAAUCUCAGGAUAUUCCUUCAGGGUAACAUGAGGUCCAACCCAUCUAUGCUUUUCUGCUCUCCUGGGAUCCAGUGAGACGUUCCCCUGGGGUGUGGAAAUCUAGGUUUCCUGGAUAUGGAAAGGUUUGGAGGGAAGGCUCCAAGGAAGAUCACUGGAGAAGAGUGGAGGGGGGCCACUCCAGAGGCCUGAGAUCAUGGCUAAGGGUGGUCCUGGAAAAUGCUCCUCUUAUCAAUCAUGGUAGCUACUACAGGAAUGGAUAUUUGGUGGGAGGAAAAGAAAGCAAGUGAAAAAAUUUGUGUUUACCUCUUCUAUGUGACUCCGAAGUUGAUCCAUAAUUGACAUCUGUGAAAAAGAGAAGCAAAGCACCUCCUCCUUUCGGGACCACCUUGAGAAAAAAAAAAAAAAGAGGUGUUUUUAGCUUCCUCUUCCCUGUUUUUCUUUUGUAUACAGUCUACCCUUCUCAUUGUAUAGAUGAGGAAACUGAGGAUCAGGGCAACAAAGUGACUUCCCAAAAUUAUCUAAUCAGUGCAGUGCUGGAGCUAAAAUCCAGGGCUCGCGACUCUGCAGACCACCAUUGUUUUUAUUACUUUCCCCUCUGUCUUCUACCUAGUCCUCUUUUCUCAGAG